Molecule: long non-coding RNA, 793 nt
Filed under: Cyanistes caeruleus (blue tit)
Lineage: Eukaryota; Metazoa; Chordata; Aves; Passeriformes; Paridae
Description: lncRNA (ENSCCEG00000004490.1)
Source: RNAcentral
CUCCCCAGCUCCAACACUGCUCUAAUUAAAGUGAUUAUGACAUUUCAGGACUCCCCUUUUCUUUAUGCAUGCUACCUAGGACUCCCCUUUUCUUUAUGCAUGCUACCUAGAUAAUACAUCUUAAUUUAACAUUGAUUAUUAGUGCUGAUAUUACAGCGCCCGCUGAAUUUCCAUUAGCCUUUGAUGGUGACAGAUAUUAGACCUCUGCACCACCUUACGCAACACUGUGUAACCGAGCUCUGCCUCCAGCUUUUCCAGAUAAUAAAACCCAGGUGAAAUCCUCCCCCAUGCAUCAGUAGAUCCUGCCUGUGCCAUGAAGCGGGGUCCCGCGGGUCGGGGCAGAGAGGCGGAGCGGGCAGGAGCAUCCCGGGCGGAGCGGUGCCCGCAUCCCGGGCGGAGCGGGCAGGAGCAUCCCGGGCGGGCAGAGGCGAGCCCCGCUCGGGCACGCAGCCUGACACCCUGCCUUCCUGCCGAGGGACAGGAGCCUGCCGCUGGCCAAGCGUCUGCCGAGGUUUAUGCCGCCGGCAGAGCGUGCAUGACAGCUUUAUUAAUGCCGAGCGUUUUGGGCUUGGUUCACCUCCGCGUUCCCGCAUGGCCGUGCCAAGGUAGCGCCGCACAAAGGGCAGUUAUAAUAUUGUGGCACAGUACUUUAUUUAAAGAAAAUAUCCAGCAUGACAUUAAGGUGCAAAACAAAGAGACUGGAGAGAAGGACAUCCUUGGCUUUUUACCAAUCAAAAGGAAUGAAACUUUGUUAAAAAAUAUGAAGACAUUUCUGAAGAAUGGGGUAUAUUAA